Molecule: long non-coding RNA, 244 nt
Organism: Sinocyclocheilus grahami
Lineage: Eukaryota; Metazoa; Chordata; Actinopteri; Cypriniformes; Cyprinidae
Exons: 3
Source: RefSeq, a predicted model, not a curated record
AUCAGUAUGUUUCUCGUGCCGAGGAGCUCAAAGCGCUGGUCAGAUCGGACAACAAAAUCAGUUUUGAGGAGGCAAAAUCAACCAGGAACAUAUUGAUAGAAAUGUCCAGAGAUCAGCCGCGUUUGCUGGCGGCCCUGGAAGUGGCGUCCACUGCUGUUGGCCGGGAGGAGAGCGGCGCCGAGGACUACGACACGCUUGAUCUAUACCAGCAGAGUCUGGGCGAGCUGCUGCUGGCAUUGGCGGG